UCGCUCCUACCGAUGAGUGAUCCGGUGAACCUUUCGGACGGCAGUACUCCUCGUGGGUGCCGCUGGAAGUCAAGUAAACCAAGUCACUUAGAGGAAGGAG
Molecule: ribosomal RNA, 100 nt
Filed under: uncultured eukaryote
Lineage: Eukaryota
Description: partial small subunit ribosomal RNA
Source: RNAcentral